UUAGAGUUUGAUCCUGGCUCAGGAUGAACGCUAGCGGCAGGCCUAAUACAUGCAAGUCGAACGGUAAGCGCCCUACGGGGCGUGAGAGUGGCGCACGGGUGCGUAACGCGUAUGCAACCCACCCCCUGCAGGGGUAUAGCCCGGAGAAAUCCGGAUUAAUCCCCCAUGAGGAGCGGGAGAGGCAUCUCUCCCAUUUCAAAACUACGGUGGCGGGGGACGGGCAUGCGUCCCAUUAGGUAGUCGGCGGGGCAACGGCCCACCGAGCCUGUGAUGGGUAGGGGAUCUGAGAGGACGGUCCCCCACACUGGUACUGAGACACGGACCAGACUCCUACGGGAGGCAGCAGUAAGGGAUAUUGGUCAAUGGGCGGUAGCCUGAACCAGCCAUGCCGCGUGAGGGAUGAAGGCCCUACGGGUCGCAGACCUCUUUUGCCGGGGGAUAACGUGCCCAACGCGUUGGGCAGUGAAGGUACCCGGAGAAUAAGCAUCGGCUAACUCCGUGCCAGCAGCCGCGGUAAUACGGAGGAUGCGAGCGUUAUCCGGAUUUAUUGGGUUUAAAGGGUGCGUAGGCUGCGAGUCAAGUCAGCGGUGAAAUUCAAGGGCUCAACCCUUGCCGUGCCGUUGAUACUGACGUGCUGGAAUUCCGUUGCCGUGGGAGGAAUGUGUAAUGUAGCGGUGAAAUGCAUAGAUAUUACACAGAACACCGAUUGCGAAGGCAUCUCACGAAGCGGUGAUUGACGCUGAUGCACGAAAGUGCGGGGAUCAAACAGGAUUAAAUACCCUGGUAGUCCGCACAGUAAACUAUGAUAACCAGCUGUCGGCGAUAGAAUGUCGGUGGCCAAGCGAAAGCGAUAAGUCAUCCACCUGGGGAGUACGACCGCAAGGUUGAAACUCAAAGGAAUUGACGGGGGCCCGCACAAGCGGAGGAACAUGUGGUUUAAUUCGAUGAUACGCGAGGAACCUUACCCGGGCUCGAACGGUACCGGACGACUUCAGAGAUGGAGUUUCCCUUCGGGGCUGGUAUCGAGGUGCUGCAUGGUUGUCGUCAGCUCGUGCCGUGAGGUGUCGGCUUAAGUGCCAUAACGAGCGCAACCCUUGUUGACAGUUGCCAUCAGGUAAAGCUGGGGACUCUGUCGAGACUGCCACCGUAAGGUGUGAGGAAGGGGGGGAUGACGUCAAAUCAGCACGGCCCUUAUGUCCGGGGCGACACACGUGUUACAAUGGUGACUACAGAGGGAAGCUACCUGGCGACAGGAUGCGAAUCUCGAAAAGUCAUCCCAGUUCGGAUCGGAGUCUGCAACUCGACUCCGUGAAGUUGGAUUCGCUAGUAAUCGCGCAUCAGCCAUGGCGCGGUGAAUACGUUCCCGGGCUUUGCACUCACCGCCCGUCAAG
Molecule: ribosomal RNA, 1391 nt
Filed under: uncultured bacterium
Lineage: Bacteria
Description: bacterial SSU rRNA
Rfam family: Bacterial small subunit ribosomal RNA
Source: RNAcentral